This is a non-coding RNA of Camelina sativa (false flax), 287 nucleotides long. NCBI's taxonomy places the organism in Eukaryota, Viridiplantae, Streptophyta, Magnoliopsida, Brassicales, Brassicaceae. The record is from RefSeq and is a predicted model, not a curated record.
CGUGAAGAAUUCGUAAAGCAAGUGAGUUAAAAAACUUCUUAUGCACUGAGGAAGUGGAAGAACCAGUCUGGUGAUACAAUCAUGCAUGUCACAACAACGGCGUUUAGGUGCUUCACUUGAUUGGUCUCGUGAGUGCUUUGCAAUGGAUGGGCAAAGAUCAAAAGCUGUCACCGAGGCUUUUGUACGGUUAUACUAAAAGGAAGGGCUUAUCUAUAGAGAUAAUAGGAAAGUUUGCUGUACAUCCAUUUAUUAGUGGAUGGAAGUUACCAAUCAUCUGUUAAUCAAAG